Molecule: ribosomal RNA, 389 nt
Filed under: Chthonomonas sp.
Lineage: Bacteria; Bacillati; Armatimonadota; Chthonomonadia; Chthonomonadales; Chthonomonadaceae
Description: bacterial SSU rRNA
Rfam family: Bacterial small subunit ribosomal RNA
Source: RNAcentral
UCUUCGGAGAGUUUGAUCAUGGCUCAGGACGAACGCUGGCGGCGUGCCUAAAACAUGCAAGUCGAACGAGGUCUUCGGACCUAGUGGCGAACGGCGGAGUAAUACAUGAGCAACGUGCCCACAAGAUCGGGACAAACGCAGAAAUGCCAUAAAUACCGAAUGUGAUUGCGAGGGGGCAUCCCCGUGCAAUUAAAUGGUUUUUCGCUUGUGGAGCGGCUCAUGACACAUCAGCUAGUUGGUGGGGUAAAGGCCUACCAAGGCUACGACGUGUAGGGGGUCUGAGAGGAUGAUCCCCCCGAGUGGGACUGAGACACGGCCCACACACCUACGGGUGGCAGCAGUUGGGAAUCUUGCACAAUGGGGGAAACCCUGAUGCAGCGACGCCGCGU